RNAcentral lists this ribosomal RNA (468 nucleotides) under uncultured bacterium. RNAcentral's name for it is "partial 16S ribosomal RNA". It matches the Rfam family "Bacterial small subunit ribosomal RNA", at positions 28 to 507 of the family's 1533-position model. The record is from RNAcentral.
GACGAACGCUGGCGGCGUGCUUAACACAUGCAAGUCGAACGGAAAGGCCCUGCUUUUGUGGGGUGCUCGAGUGGCGAACGGGUGAGUAACACGUGAGUAACCUGCCCUUGACUUUGGGAUAACUUCAGGAAACUGGGGCUAAUACCGGAUAGGAGCUCCUGCUGCAUGGUGGGGGUUGGAAAGUUUCGGCGGUUGGGGAUGGACUCGCGGCUUAUCAGCUUGUUGGUGGGGUAGUGGCUUACCAAGGCUUUGACGGGUAGCCGGCCUGGGAGGGUGACCGGCCACAUUGGGACUGAGGUACGGCCCAGACUCCUACGGGAGGCAGCAGUGGGGAAUAUUACACAAUGGGCCGAAGCCUGAUGCAGCAACGCCGCGUUCGGGAUGACGGCCUUCGGGUUGUAAAACGCUUUCGCCUGUGACGAAGCGUGAGUGACGGUAAUGGGUAAAGAAGCACCGGCUAACUACGUG